Molecule: transfer RNA, 89 nt
Filed under: Amborella trichopoda
Lineage: Eukaryota; Viridiplantae; Streptophyta; Magnoliopsida; Amborellales; Amborellaceae
Description: tRNA AMTR_s00089t00276230
Source: RNAcentral
CUCAUGAUAGUGUAUUUUGCAUAAAGACCUCUUUGAAAGGUCUCAAGAACUAUUUGGGGGUGGACCGGGUCCCGGUCCCGGUCUUGGUC